RNAcentral lists this ribosomal RNA (468 nucleotides) under uncultured bacterium. Its description in RNAcentral is "partial 16S ribosomal RNA". It matches the Rfam family "Bacterial small subunit ribosomal RNA", at positions 28 to 507 of the family's 1533-position model. The record is from RNAcentral.
GACGAACGCUGGCGGCGUGCUUAACACAUGCAAGUCGAACGGAAAGGCCCUGCUUUUGUGGGGUGCUCGAGUGGCGAACGGGUGAGUAACACGUGAGUAACCUGCUCUUGACUUUGGGAUAACUUCAGGAAACUGGGGCUAAUACCGGAUAGGAGCUCCUGCUGCAUGGUGGGGGUUGGAAAGUUUCGGCGGUUGGGGAUGGACUCGCGGCUUAUUAGCUUGUUGGUGGGGUAGUGGCUUACCAAGGGUUUGAAUGGUAGCCCGCGUGGGAGGGUGACCGGCCACAUUGCGACUAAGGUACGGCCCAGACUCCUACGGUAGACAGCAGUGGGAAAUAUUGCACAAUGGGCGGGAGCCUGAUGCAGCAACGCCGCGUGCGGGAUGACGGCCUUCGGGUUGUAAACCGCUUUCGCCUGUGACGAAGCGGGAGUGACGGUAAUGGGUAAAGAAGCACCGGCUAACUACGUG